This is a small nuclear RNA of Papaver somniferum (opium poppy), 191 nucleotides long. RefSeq annotates it as U2 spliceosomal RNA. Lineage: Eukaryota; Viridiplantae; Streptophyta; Magnoliopsida; Ranunculales; Papaveraceae. The record is from RefSeq and is a predicted model, not a curated record. The transcript has a single exon.
AUACUUUUCUCAGCCUUUUGGCUACGAUAAAGUGUAGUAUCUGUUCUUAUCAGUCUAGUACUGAUAUGUGAGCCAUCGGCUCACACGAUAUUAGAUUAAUUUUUUUCAUGGGGGAGUUCCGAUCAGUUUCUCAAGCGUCUCUCAAGCAUCGCCUCUGCUUUGCACUACUGCAAAGGCCUGGCGCACCCCCA